AGAUUGUAAAUUUUUGUGUCUUCAGGAUUGAUUUCUGGGUACUUGUCAUUUUCCUUCUGGUUUGUUGUGUUAAUAUACUUCUUCAUGCUAUUUGAUGGCAUGGACUUUUGCCAUCACAUGGUGGUCAUAUCUUGUGUAGAUUCCACCUUCUACCGCUAGGUUGGGCAGGAGCUGUGUUUUCUGAGCCUGCUGUGACUCUUGGCAGAUGUGCUUGUCUGUUGGAAACAGUGCCAACAGGACCUGUCUUCACUUGCCCAUAUGCUCUCUGGCAGGGAUCCCCUACUCUAGCUGGCCAGCCAAGGUGGUGCACCAGGCAGAAGCAGGGAGAGGCACUUUAUUUUGCUGGCACAAUCCUGUGCGUUCCCGGUCUGCACUCACUGUCUGCCUGCUUGGGCUGCUUGGCUUGGUUUAGAUGCCCCUGCAGUUGCUUAGCUUCUUCAGUGUGGAGCAUUCCCACAGGCUGUGAGGCAACUCCAAGAGUGCAAGCAUUCCCAUGGAGGGCUGCCUUUUCUCUCAUCUCCUCUCAGAGUCAUGCACCAGCUGCCAUGUGAGGUCCCACACCCUAGAUCAUUGCCACUUGUGAGGGUGGGGGAGAUCUUUUUACCUCCUUCCUCUGCCUCUUGGGGGAGUCUUGCACCCCCAACUUCAGACAUAUGGCUGUGUGGAUCUCUCACAUGUCUGUUGUGUGAAUGUCCCCUGUUGAUUUGUGAAUGUCCUUUUUGUUGUAUCUUAUGGGACAGAGACUAAAGGAAGAGCUCACUCUGCCAUGAUGCUGACAGCACUCUCCAUGAAUUUUUACCUGUGAGAAAACGUGUGUUUUAUUUUUGAAGUUUAUAUUUUAUGUUGAAAAACAUUUACAAUAGAAGGGAAUUAUAAAAGAAAACAAUCUAUUUUUUUACCAUUACUUCAGUGUUUUUGCCCAGUUGAUAUCUUUGACAGCAAGAUAUCUAGAUGUGAUACAUUAGACACAACGGACUCAAAAGGGUUGGAUUCUGCCUUGGAACAUAGUGGCUGCAUACCCUGCAAAGAGUCAUUUUGACUUUUCUUAGUUCAUGCUUUCUUCAUCCUUCACUUUGUUUUCUUUCUCCAGAUUGCUCAUAUUCUUUCAUGGUACUAUGGCCAUGGUUCCCUCUGUCCACAGAACUAUUCAUAAAAGAUUAAGAAAACAAAGUGCAGGGGAUGCAAAAAGACAGAAAUAUCAGCCAAAGCUGUCAUCCGUCUGGGAAGGGCUCCAUCUGGAGGGUCAUCCUCCAUUCUGCUAGAGGGUCCAAGCAGGCAGAGUUAUUUAUAAUUCUCGGGCAUCCACAAAGCUUAUGUUAAAUGCCUAUGUCUAUCUCUGACAUUUCUGGAAUUUGUAAGACUGUCGAUGUAAAUAAUGAAAGAGAAAUAUAUGAAAUGAGAAGUACUUAUCACUAUUAGCCAUAGGAAAGAAAGGUUUCAGGAGAGCAGGGAAAUAGUAGAUGUUCUGUGUUCCCUUUGAAUAUUAACAUUUUUAAAAAAUCUCAUAAUUAAAGAGGGAGAAGUUUCUAAAAUUUUAGGAAUUGAAUGUAGUACUUUUUACAUUUUGAUGCCCUCAUAAUUUGAAAAUUCCUGUAGAGAAAACCAUUAAUGUGUCUUUUUAAAAGUCUUGUCAUAUUCUCCUUAAAUGUGUCUCUAAAUGUUUGGUUCUGAUAAGCUUCUAUUUUGUAUUUCAACCUCUUCAUAGAAAGUAGCCUCUGUAAGAUCACAACUAUCUGAUAUUGUGUAAAAUGAUUGUUAUGGAAACUACUGAAUUUAGGCCGUAAGUUAUUUUAUUUAUUAAUUAGGUAGGAGUAACAGAGGCUUAGAUUAGUUCAUUAAAAUGACUGUCAGACAAAUUCUCUUUUACUGGAAAAAAAGUCAAGUUAUGGUGUCAUGCUAGAAAAUGUACGGAUAAUGCUUGGAGUGUGUUAACUUUCAGGUAUUAGAAAGGAGUGCAAGAACCUACAGUUUGGUUAACAGUCUGGGAGGAUAACUCAACAUAAUGUCUCAGUUUAGUGUACUAAGCAGUCAGUUUUCUUUUGAUAUAAGGUAGAGCAAUGCAAGUAGUUGUGGUUAGGCCAGCUUAGUUGUAAUGAGCGUGGCCUCUGUAAUUCAAGGGCCUGGGUCUGAAACCUGGUGUUGCUAGUUACUGAUUGGGUGACUUGAGGUAAUUUAUACAAACUCUUUGUUCCUCUUUAUUUAUUAUGUCCAUAUUUUUCCUUAAAUCUUUGAAUACAUUUUCUAAUAUCUUAAAAUAUUUGUUAAUUCCAAUAUUUAUGUCAUCUUUGGUUGUUUUCCUACAUACAGUUUUCUCUUGAUUAUGUGUCACAUUUUCCUGUUUCUUUACAUGCCUACUAAUUUUGGUUUUAUACUAGACACUAUAAAUGCUACAUUGUUGAGAGCCUAUAUUUUGUGAUCUUUAUUAGAGUGUUGAGUUUUUUCUGGUAGCAGUUUCCUGGCUGAGAAGUUUUAUCCUGUUGAAGCUUGUAUUUGGGUAGGUCUAGUGUAGUUCUUAGUCUAGAGUCAAAAUAUUACUACUUUUACAUUUUUCUUUUGCAGGAGAAGAUUCACCCUAAGCUAACAUCUGUUGCCAAUCUUCUUCCUUUUUCCUCCCCAAAGCCCCAGCCCAUAGUUAUGUCUGGUUUUAAAUUCUUCUGGUUCUUCUAUGUGAAGCACCACCACAGCAUGCCUACUGAUAGAUGAGUGGUGUGGUUCCACACCCAGGAACUAACCUGGGCCACCAAGGCAGAGCAUGCAGAAAUUUAACCAUUAGGCCAUCAGGGCGGGCUCACUACUUUUAAAGUGUGGUCUUUCUGGGGUCUCAGCUGAAUGCAGGUGGAGUUCAGUAAAGCCACUUAUUCUAGAUAAUUAGAACUUCAGUGUCUCUCAGCAUUAAGUGAUCUCUGGGUCCUUCAUUCACCUCCCAAUCCCCAGUAGCUAUUCUCCACCAUGCCUCCUGGAGUCUUGCCCUGAAUAUAUGCAGGUUAGUAAUGGCCCAAAGACUCAAACAGACAUCUCUGCAGAUGUCUGGAGAUCCUUCUCUACAUAGCUCAUCUUUCUCCAGUAUAUUAUCCCAAAAGUAUCUGUUGCCUCAGCAGCCCUUAACUCUGAUACUUGUUUCCUCUAUCCAGCAAGAACAGUGCUUUUUUGUUCAAGCUACUUUUCUGUGCUGCAGUUUGGAGCUCAUCUCAUGUGUCUUUUCUCUCAAGGGUCACAGACCUGGGAUGUCUGUUGUGUAAUUAUUUUAAGUGAUUGAUUCACAUAUUUAUAAUUGUUUAAGGUGGAAUAGUAAGCCCAAUGCCAAUGCCAGUUGUUCUAUUGUGACUGGAAUUGGAAUUGUUCACUUUUAAAUUUUGAAGUUAUCUAUUUGAUAACAAUAUGCUUUAGAUAUUAAUUUCAUUUGAUAGAGUAAUUACUCAAGUUCCUGUGUGUCUUAAGAGGUUUUUAUCUGGGAUAUGUGUUUCAGGAUACUUUAUCAACUCUGUAUGUUAAGGAGGCUAUAGUAUUCUCAAAUUGAGUUAUUUCAAGCCAUAUUCAGCUUAAUUUAUUUUGCUUUGGAUAACUAUAUUUCAAAACCUUCUUACUCAUUUGUUUUCCCCUUGUGGGUUAAUUUUGGAGUUUAGAAUUGGUUUCUUGGUAAUAUCCUAAAAAUGCUUCAUUUUAGUGCCCAUAAGUUUUAUCCUUUGGGACCUUUCACUGUCUUAUAAUUUUCUAUAACUCUACCCUAGUUAGUUUAUUGCUAAUGGCUAAAGUGAACCUACUUGUUGAAUGACUAAAAUGGAGCUAGCUACCUAUGAACAUGCUUCUACCAAUUGUAAGGUGUCUAGUAAUUGUGAUACUGUAUCAGCAUUCCCUAGUAUAUUAAUUAGCCAGGUAUUUUUGGUGGACAUGGUGCUCUUAGUAAUUUUGGUGGAUUCUUGUGUCUCUUGAUAAACUCAUUCAAUCACGGCUAACCACUUAAAUAUGUCUUUUGCUUCCAGGAUUGUUUUUAUUUCUUUGCCAUUAAGGUAGAUGUUUUGGCUAUAGACAGACUGUUGCCAGGGUGCAAACACAUAGCAAAAUCAUGAGACUUUCUCUAAUUUAACCAGAUCUCUGAGAUGGCUUAUGUCUGACCCAAUGCUUGUUUGUAUCAUGAGGAAUGACAGUGUUCUAAUUUCAUUUUUGUUAGUAUAACAAUUUCUGCCCCUAUGGCGUAAAAUCUGAUUUACCAGGACAAUCCAACUUUUGCCUUCUCUUGGGAAAAUAUCUUCCUCUUCCUGAGAUGCCACAUGGAGGUGAACUGGAAGAAAAAGAGCAAAAACUGAAACCUGAAGAAUGGAGGCUGUCUUCAAACAAGCCCAACGGAAUUUGAGGAUGCCAGCACCUUUCCUACAUAUUUAAACUUAUCUGCAUUCCCGUUUCUGGAAUACCCUAUACCUGCAUUCUAAGUAGACUCAUGGAAGCUUCAGAGGUCAUUUAACACAUAAUGUCUCAUCUGUACAUCUUGAAGUGGUGAGUGGCUUGCCUAAGAGAACACAGAUGCUCAGUGGCAGAGCCAGAACAUGAACUCAUGCAUAAUGACCUCUGUCAUCUGGGGCCAUCCUCUGAUUUGGUACUUGUGGUUGGUACAGACUCUCUGCGCCACACCUCAUUCCACUGUGAAAGCAUUCUCAUACUGCUUCUAAUUUCAUAACUGUUAAAAAUUAUUUGGCUACGCAUAUUUCAUGCACUAUCGAGUAAAGUGAAGAGGAGAAAAAUAAAGCUACAUAAAAAAUCCAAUAAGUAAUACAUUAAAUUUGAAAGUAAACUUUGUAUGAAUAAGUUCUAAAAUAAAAAUCUUAAAAUUUUACUAUUCUUAA
This is a non-coding RNA of Equus caballus (horse), 4838 nucleotides long. NCBI's taxonomy places the organism in Eukaryota, Metazoa, Chordata, Mammalia, Perissodactyla, Equidae. The record is from RefSeq and is a predicted model, not a curated record.